UACGAAGGGGGCUAGCGUUGUUCGGAAUUACUGGGCGUAAAGCGCACGUAGGCGGACAUUUAAGUCAGGGGUGAAAUCCCAGAGCUCAACUCUGGAACUGCCUUUGAUACUGGGUGUCUUGAGUAUGGAAGAGGUUAGUGGAAUUCCGAGUGUAGAGGUGAAAUUCGUAGAUAUUCGGAGGAACACCAGUGGCGAAGGCGGCUCACUGGUCCAUUACUGACGCUGAGGUGCGAAAGCGUGGGGAGCAAACAGG
RNAcentral lists this ribosomal RNA (253 nucleotides) under uncultured bacterium. RNAcentral describes it as "partial 16S ribosomal RNA". It matches the Rfam family "Bacterial small subunit ribosomal RNA", at positions 524 to 776 of the family's 1533-position model. The record is from RNAcentral.